Molecule: transfer RNA, 64 nt
Filed under: Trichonephila clavata
Lineage: Eukaryota; Metazoa; Arthropoda; Arachnida; Araneae; Nephilidae
Description: tRNA-Arg
Rfam family: tRNA
About the family: Transfer RNA (tRNA) molecules are approximately 80 nucleotides in length.
Source: RNAcentral
UUAGCGCAAUGGAUAUCGUGUUGGACUUCUAAUUCAAAGGUCGUGGGCUCGAAUCCCACCUAAA